GUGGCAGUAGCCCAGUGGUAGAGCCCCGGCUUCGCAUGCGGGGAGACCUGGGUUCGAUCCCCGGCUGCUUCC
This 72-nucleotide transfer RNA is filed under the name Toxocara canis (dog roundworm). It matches the Rfam family "tRNA". From Rfam's summary of the family: Transfer RNA (tRNA) molecules are approximately 80 nucleotides in length. The record is from Rfam by way of RNAcentral. Lineage: Eukaryota; Metazoa; Nematoda; Chromadorea; Rhabditida; Toxocaridae.